This is a long non-coding RNA of Thalassophryne amazonica, 91 nucleotides long. RefSeq lists it as uncharacterized. NCBI's taxonomy places the organism in Eukaryota, Metazoa, Chordata, Actinopteri, Batrachoidiformes, Batrachoididae. The record is from RefSeq and is a predicted model, not a curated record. The transcript has 3 exons.
GCAAGCGUGGAGAGGUGGGCAUAAGCUCUGGAGAGAAGGGGAAUGAAAGUCAGUUGGCGCAAGAUGGAGUACAUGUCUGUGAAUGAAGGAG